AAAUGGUCUUCUCAUUCUCAUUCCAUGAUAAAAAUGUUUCCCAAGCUCUACUUGUGUUUGUCAUUUUCAGUGAUUUUGAUUCUAGUUGAUUUUUGUGCAAAAUCAAUUGAAGAAGAGAUGUUCUUUUAUCCUGUGGAUGAUGGGGCAAUAUUCUGUUUGCACAAUUUCGAGCAUAGCUGCAAAACAUCUUAAAGAGUGCGUGUUGCAUGACUCAACUGUCUACUAACCUUGCUUCUAUUUUGCAGUUUUUGUUCUAGUGUUGAUCUGCCUUGUCGUUGCUGUUUUUAUUUCUAUGUAAUAGUACUGCUAAUUGAUCGAGCCGUGAGUUGAUGACCGAAGUGCAACAACAAGUUGACUUUGAGUUUAAAAUACUUUUACCACUGUCGAUUGAAGUCAUCCCUUCUGUAGUAUGAACGGUCCUAGUGAUAUGUAACAGUUGUAACCACAAUUGUAAAAAGAGUACUAAGCUGAAGUAACAUGGAAAAAGAACAAGUAACACAACAACAUUUGUUAACCCAGUUCGAUAAAUAUGCAUCUACAUCUGGGGGGCAGUUUGCCCAGGAUAGAAGAUUGUAUUAAUCACAAAUACAAUAACAGUUGAAUACAUAGUUAUGACUGGAGGUACAACACUUUGCACAUUUAUCAUCGUGCUGUCCUAGAACUGUUGCAACAAAACUAAAUAUGUAAGAAUACAAUAGUCAUAACUCAUAAGAAGGACAGAAUAUCUCCCCCUCAAUCUCAGUUCUAAAGAUGAUGUAUUCAACUCAAGCCCCGAACAACUUGAUGAUUCUUCUAUUGGUCUUUC
Molecule: long non-coding RNA, 805 nt
Organism: Cucumis melo (muskmelon)
Lineage: Eukaryota; Viridiplantae; Streptophyta; Magnoliopsida; Cucurbitales; Cucurbitaceae
Exons: 2
Source: RefSeq, a predicted model, not a curated record